AUACUAAUGCAGUAAUAUUUGAUAUUGGUUCGUAACCAACCUUUAAUUCUAGGUUAGCAUGACUUACUGUUACCUUCUUAGAAACCUUCUCGAAAAACCCAUUUGGGACAAAACCGAUUCAAGGGAAAAAGAUUACACGCGUGCUUUCAAGUCUAAAAGUCAUGUCGUUCUUUGGUGGUCUCCUGUAGGUGUUAGUUCAAAAUGCAAAUAAGUAAAAGGAAUGAAUGGGGUCGUACCUUAGCAGUAAUGUCUCUUCAAGUGAGUUAUGUUCCAGUUGUUCCAUUGUUGCUCGCCAUUCACUAUUCCGAUUUUG
RNAcentral lists this long non-coding RNA (313 nucleotides) under Nicotiana benthamiana. Its description in RNAcentral is "long non-coding RNA (NBEN_LNC036769)". The record is from RNAcentral. Lineage: Eukaryota; Viridiplantae; Streptophyta; Magnoliopsida; Solanales; Solanaceae.